RNAcentral lists this non-coding RNA (98 nucleotides) under Sporomusa sp. KB1. The record is from RNAcentral. Lineage: Bacteria; Bacillati; Bacillota; Negativicutes; Selenomonadales; Sporomusaceae.
GCGAGCGGAGUGCACAGGAAACUUGCAUACUCCGUUCUGAGAGGGGCGAUUGGAAAAGUGCUGUCUUCGGAUGGUAACUCGCUGGUCGCCUACUCUAC